GACGAACGCUGGCGGCGUGCUUAACACAUGCAAGUCGAACGGAAAGGCCCUGCUUUUGUGGGGUGCCCGAGUGGCGAACGGGUGAGUAACACGUGAGUAACCCGCCCUUGACUUUGGGAUAACUUCAGGAAACUGGGGCUAAUACCGGAUAGGAGCUUCCGCUGCCUGGUGGGGGUGCGAAAGUUUCGGCGGUUGGUGAUGGAUUCGCGGCUUAUCAGCUUGUUGGUGGGGUAGUGGCUUACCACGGCUUUGACGGGUAGCCGGCCUGAGAGGGUAACCGGCCCCAUUGGUCCUAGGGGACGGCCCAGACGCGUACGUGCGGCAGCAGUGGAAAGUAUUGCACAAUGGGCGGAAGCCUGAGGCGACAAUGCCGCGUUCGGGAUAACGGCCUUCGAGUUGAGAACCGGUUUCGCCUGAGACGAAGCUAGAGUGACGGUAAUGGGCAAAAAAGCACCGGCUAACUACGUG
This 468-nucleotide ribosomal RNA is filed under the name uncultured bacterium. RNAcentral describes it as "partial 16S ribosomal RNA". It matches the Rfam family "Bacterial small subunit ribosomal RNA", at positions 28 to 507 of the family's 1533-position model. The record is from RNAcentral.